GUGCCAGCAGCCGCGGUAAUACGUAGGUGGCAAGCGUUAUCCGGAAUUAUUGGGCGUAAAGCGCGCGUAGGCGGUUUUUUAAGUCUGAUGUGAAAGCCCACGGCUCAACCGUGGAGGGUCAUUGGAAACUGGAAAACUUGAGUGCAGAAGAGGAAAGUGGAAUUCCAUGUGUAGCGGUGAAAUGCGCAGAGAUAUGGAGGAACGCCAGUGGCGAAGGCGACUUUCUGGUCUGUAACUGACGCUGAUGUGCGAAAGCGUGGGGAUCAAACAGGAUUAGAUAC
This 281-nucleotide ribosomal RNA is filed under the name uncultured Staphylococcus sp. RNAcentral describes it as "partial 16S ribosomal RNA". It matches the Rfam family "Bacterial small subunit ribosomal RNA", at positions 505 to 785 of the family's 1533-position model. Lineage: Bacteria; Bacillati; Bacillota; Bacilli; Caryophanales; Staphylococcaceae. The record is from RNAcentral.